Molecule: unclassified non-coding RNA, 91 nt
Filed under: Mucilaginibacter sp. NFR10
Lineage: Bacteria; Pseudomonadati; Bacteroidota; Sphingobacteriia; Sphingobacteriales; Sphingobacteriaceae
Description: Flavo-1 RNA
Source: RNAcentral
UAGCGUUAGGGAUAGUAGCGGAAAGCCCACAGCGUGCGGGGGCUUAGCGUGUGGGCAAGGCGAGGACUUGUAGCGGAUAGCCCGGGCCGGA